GAUGAACGCUGGCGGCGUGCCUAAUACAUGCAAGUCGAGCGAACGGACGAGAAGCUUGCUUUUCUGAUGUUAGCGGCGGACGGGUGAGUAACACGUGGAUAACCUACCUAUAAGACUGGGAUAACUUCGGGAAACCGGAGCUAAUAUCGGAUAAUAUUUUGAACCGCAUGGUUCAAAAGUGAAAGACGGUCUUGCUGUCACUUAUAGAUGGAUCCGCGCUGCAUUAGCUAGUUGGUAAGGUAACGGCUUACCAAGGCAACGAUGCAUAGCCGACCUGAGAGGGUGAUCGGCCACACUGGAACUGAGACACGGUCCAGACUCCUACGGGAGGCAGCAGUAGGGAAUCUUCCGCAAUGGGCGAAAGCCUGACGGAGCAACGCCGCGUGAGUGAUGAAGGUCUUCGGAUCGUAAAACUCUGUUAUUAGGGAAGAACAUAUGUGUAAGUAACUGUGCACAUCUUGACGGUACCUAAUCAGAAAGCCACGGCGAACUACGUG
Molecule: ribosomal RNA, 497 nt
Filed under: uncultured bacterium
Lineage: Bacteria
Description: partial 16S ribosomal RNA
Rfam family: Bacterial small subunit ribosomal RNA
Source: RNAcentral